RNAcentral lists this transfer RNA (71 nucleotides) under Stegodyphus mimosarum. It matches the Rfam family "tRNA". Rfam says of the family: Transfer RNA (tRNA) molecules are approximately 80 nucleotides in length. Their secondary structure includes four short double-helical elements and three loops (D, anti-codon, and T loops). The record is from Rfam by way of RNAcentral. Lineage: Eukaryota; Metazoa; Arthropoda; Arachnida; Araneae; Eresidae.
GCCUUCAUAGUGCAGUGGUGAGCACACUUGGCGCGUAUUCGAGGUCCGUGGUUCGAGUCCCGGCAAAGGCA